AAGCCUGUCUCAGUUCGGAUUGGAGUCUGCAACCCGACUCCAUGAAGCUGGAUUCGCUAGUAAUCGCGCAUCAGCCACGGCGCGGUGAAUACGUUCUCGGGCCUUGUACACACCGCCCGUCAAGCCAUGGAAGCCGGGGGUGCCUGAAGUGCGCUGCCGCAAGGAGCGUCCUAGGGUAAAACCGGUGACUGGGGCUAAGUCGUAACAAGGUACC
Molecule: ribosomal RNA, 214 nt
Filed under: uncultured bacterium
Lineage: Bacteria
Description: partial 16S ribosomal RNA
Rfam family: Bacterial small subunit ribosomal RNA
Source: RNAcentral